CCACUACUCCUGUUUCAAUAUUCGUUCUGGAAUCUCGCAAACUUUUUUGUUUAUUUCUUCUCAAACUUACAUACAUUAACCUUUCUUAUACUAUCAUGGCUUCCAGGGUGGUUUUUGUUUUGGUGAUGGCGGUGAUGUUGCUUGCCAUCAACUGUAACUGCACCAGUGUUGGUCACAUGCCUUCAACCAAAGAGGAAGGUCGUGAUUUUGAGGAGGCUAAAGCCAAGACCACACAAACAGCCAACAAGGCCAUGGACACUGGUAAAGAGGGGAAAGAAGCUGCAGAGUCAUGGACAGAAUGGGCUAAAGAGAAAAUCACCGAGGGACUUGGCUUCAAACAUGAUCAAGAAACCAAGGAAUCCACCACCCACAAAAUCUCUGACUAUGCUACCGACACUGCACAGAGAUCAAAGGACUGUGCAGCUGACACUGCAAAGAAGACCAAGGACUGUGUUGGUAAUGCUGCUCAGAAGACCAAGGAUUCUGCCGCCGAUGCUGCCCAGAAGACUAAAGAUUAUGCUGCUCAGAAGACCAGCGAUGCCAGUGGUGCUGCCAAAAAGACGAAAGAUUAUGCUGCUGAAAAAACCAAGGAAUAUGCCAGUGAUGCUGGUGAUGCUGCAAAGAAAACCAAAGACUAUGCUGCUGAAAAAACCAAGNGCUGGUGAUGCUGCAAAGAAAACCAAAGACUAUGCUGCUGAAAAAACCAAGGAAUAUGCCAGUGACGCUGGUGAUGCUGCAAAGAAAACCAAAGAUUAUGCUGCUGAAAAAACCAAGGAGUAUGCCAGUGACGCUGGUGACGCUGCAAAGAAAACCAAAGAUUACGGUGCUCAAAAGGUCAGCGAUGGAGCACAUAAGACCAAGGACUAUGUCAGUGGUACUGCUCAAAAUGUUGGGCAGAAUGUCAAAGACUAUGCUGGUGAUGCUGCUCACAGGAGCAGAGAAGCUUCUGAUUAUGUCAGUGACACGGCUGAGAAGACCAAAUACUACGUUGAUGAUGCUGCUCAGAGAAGCAAAGAGGCAUCUGAAUACGCCAAUGAUGCGGCUCACAGGACCAAAGACUAUUCCAAUGAUGCUACCAGAAAAAGCAAAGAUGCUUCUGAUUAUGCCAGUGAUGUUGCUCAGAGAACCAAAGAGAAGCUCCAUGACUUUGCUUCUGGUUGGUACACUAACUUCAAAAACAUUUCUGCUCUGCAACCGGUAUACCGCAUAUGAAAACCAUUUUCACACCUGUUUUCUUUGUUUUUUAAACAAGUUAAUAGCUUUCAAAUGAAUGUUAGUGUUUUCUUUUCUUUUCUUUUUUUCACACAGCUGAACAUUUGCAGCAUGUUAUUAACUGAAAAGCAUAAAGAGUUUUAAGAAUAAUUAAGAAAACAGUUAUGGAAAAAGUGGUUUAAUUUGAUGUUGUUGUUGAUGAUGAACAGAGGCUGGUCAAUACAGUGCUGAGAAAGCGAGAGAAAUGAAGGAUGCAGCAGCACAGAAGGCUAGUGACAUAGCAAAAGCUGCCAAGAAAAAAUCACAAGAAGUGAAAGAGAAU
RNAcentral lists this long non-coding RNA (1534 nucleotides) under Vigna radiata. Its description in RNAcentral is "long non-coding RNA (VRAD_LNC007519)". Lineage: Eukaryota; Viridiplantae; Streptophyta; Magnoliopsida; Fabales; Fabaceae. The record is from RNAcentral.